This 490-nucleotide ribosomal RNA is filed under the name uncultured bacterium. Its description in RNAcentral is "partial 16S ribosomal RNA". It matches the Rfam family "Bacterial small subunit ribosomal RNA", at positions 30 to 507 of the family's 1533-position model. The record is from RNAcentral.
AUUGAACGCUGGCGGCAUGCUUUACACAUGCCAGUCGAACGGCAGCACGAAAGAGCUUGCUCUUUUGGUGGCGAGUGGCGAACGGGUGAGUAAUGCAUCGGAACGUACCGAGUAAUGGGGGAUAACUGUCCGAAAGGAUAGCUAAUACCGCAUACGCUUUGAGAAGGAAAGUGGGGGCUCUUCGGACCUCACGUUAUUCGAGCGGCCGAUGUCUGAUUAGCUAGUUGGUGGGGUAAAGGCCUACCAAGGCGACGAUCGGUAGCGGGUCUGAGAGGAUGAUCCGCCACACUGGGACUGAGACACGGCCCAGACUCCUACGGGAGGCAGCAGUGGGGAAUUUUGGACAAUGGGCGCAAGCCUGAUCCAGCCGUGCCGCGUGUCUGAAGAAGGCCUUCGGGUUGUAAAGGACUUUUGUUAGGGAAGAAAAGGAUAGUGUUAAUACCAUUAUCUGCUGACGGUACCUAAAGAAUAAGCACCGGCUAACUACGUG